This 274-nucleotide ribosomal RNA is filed under the name uncultured bacterium. Its description in RNAcentral is "partial 16S ribosomal RNA". It matches the Rfam family "Archaeal small subunit ribosomal RNA", at positions 473 to 747 of the family's 1478-position model. The record is from RNAcentral.
AUACCAGCCCCGCGAGUGGUCGGGACGGUUAUUGGGCCUAAAGCGCCCGUAGCCGGCCCGGUAAGUUCCCGCCGAAAUCCCCGGGCUCAACCCGGGGGCCUGCGGGAAUACUGCCGGGCUAGGGGGCGGGAGAGGCCGGGGGUACUCCCGGGGUAGGGGCGAAAUCCUAUAAUCCCGGGAGGACCACCAGUGGCGAAGGCGCCCGGCUGGAACGCGCCCGACGGUGAGGGGCGAAAGCCGGGGGAGCGAACCGGAUUAGAAACCCUUGUAGUCC